This 90-nucleotide non-coding RNA is filed under the name Nereida ignava. RNAcentral describes it as "Glycine sequence". It matches the Rfam family "Glycine riboswitch aptamer". Rfam says of the family: This family represents the bacterial glycine riboswitch. Glycine riboswitches usually consist of two metabolite-binding aptamers domains with similar structures in tandem. The record is from RNAcentral. Lineage: Bacteria; Pseudomonadati; Pseudomonadota; Alphaproteobacteria; Rhodobacterales; Roseobacteraceae.
ACAUGUCCGCUCGGGAGAGCGUGGAUUAUGCCACCGCCGAAGGAGCAACCACCCCGGUCACCUCUCAGGCAACAGGACUGGCGGACGUGU